GAAAUGCGAUAAGUAAUGUGAAUUGCAGAAUUCAGUGAAUCAUCGAAUCUUUGAACGCACCUUGCGCUCCUUGGUAUUCCUUGGAGCAUGCCUGUUUGAGUAUCAUGAAAUCUUCAAAGUAAAUCUUUUGUUAACUCAAUUGGUUUCUACUUUGGUAUUGGAGGUCUUUGCAGCUUCACACCUGCUCCUCUUUGUUCAUUAGUUGGAUCUCAGUGUUAUGCUUGGUUCCACUCGGCGUGAUAAGUUAUCUAUCGCUGAGGACACUGUAAAAGGUGGCCAAGGUAAAUGCAGAUGAACCGCUUCUAAUAGUCCAUUGACUUGAACAAUACUUUUAUGAUCUGAUCUCAAAUCAGGUAGGACUACCCGCUGAACUUAAGC
RNAcentral lists this unclassified non-coding RNA (378 nucleotides) under plant metagenome. RNAcentral describes it as "partial contains 5.8S ribosomal RNA, internal transcribed spacer 2, and large subunit ribosomal RNA". The stretch from base 1 to 105 matches the Rfam family "5.8S ribosomal RNA", at positions 50 to 154 of the family's 154-position model. The record is from RNAcentral.